Molecule: ribosomal RNA, 859 nt
Filed under: uncultured organism
Description: bacterial SSU rRNA
Rfam family: Bacterial small subunit ribosomal RNA
Source: RNAcentral
UACACGGCUAGAGUAUUGGAGAGGUGAGUGGAAUUCCAGGUGUAGCGGUGAAAUGCGUAGAUAUCUGGAGGAACACCAACGGCGAAGGCAGCUCACUGGACAAUGACUGACGCUGAGGGACGAAAGCGUGGGGAGCGAAAGGGAUUAGAUACCCCUGUAGUCCACGCCGUAAACUUUGUGCACUCGCUAUUGGCGGAUUCGACCCCGUCAGUGGCCAAGCUAACGCGAUAAGUGCACCGCCUGAGGACUACGGCCGCAAGGCUAAAACUCAAAGGAAUUGACGGGUCCCCGCACAGGCGGUGGAGCAUGUGGCUUAAUUCGAUGCAACGCGAAGAACCUUACCAGGUCUUGACAUGUAGCGGACCGGGGCAGAGAUGCCCCUUCUCUUCGGAGCCGCUUCACAGGUGCUGCAUGGCUGUCGUCAGCUCGUGUCGUGAGAUGUUCGGUUAAGUCCGUCAACGAGCGCAACCCCUGUCCUUAGUUGCCAGCAUUCAGUUGGGGACUCUAAGGAGACAAUCCCGCUUUUGCGGGAGGGAAGGUGGGGAUGAUGUCAAGUCAGUAUGGCCCUUACGGCCUGGGCUGCACACGUGCUACAAUGCCCGGUACAAUAGGUCGCUACUCCGCGAGGAGAUGCUAAUCCAGAAAGCCGGGCCCAGUUCGGAUUGGAGUCUGCAACUCGACUCCAUGAAGUCGGAAUCGCUAGUAAUGGCGCAUCAGCAAUGGCGCCGUGAAUACGUUCGCCGGGGAUUGUACACACCGCCCGUCACAUCAUGAAAACCGGUUUCGCCCGAAGUACGUGCGCCAACCUUCGUGGAGGCAGCGUCCGACGGUGAGGCUGGUGAUUGGGAUGAAGUCGUAA